This 256-nucleotide ribosomal RNA is filed under the name uncultured bacterium. Its description in RNAcentral is "partial 16S ribosomal RNA". It matches the Rfam family "Bacterial small subunit ribosomal RNA", at positions 524 to 776 of the family's 1533-position model. The record is from RNAcentral.
UACGGAGGGUGCAAGCGUUGUCCGGAAUCACUGGGCGUAAAAGGGCGCGUAGGCGGCCUGGUAAGUAGGGGGUGAAAUCCUGCGGCUUAACCGCAGGGGCUGCCUUCUAAACUGUCAGGCUUGAGCACGGUAGAGGCAGAUGGAAUUCCCGGUGUAGCGGUGGAAUGCGUAGAGAUCGGGAAGAACAUCAGUGGCGAAGGCCGGUCUGCUGGGCCGUUGCUGACGCUGAGGCGCGACAGCGUGGGGAGCAAACAGG